GACGAACGCUGGCGGCGUGCUUAACACAUGCAAGUCGAGCGGUAAGGCCCUUUCGGGGGUACACGAGCGGCGAACGGGUGAGUAACACGUGGGUGACCCGCCCUCAGCUCUGGGAUAAGCCCGGGAAACUGGGUCUAAUACCGGAUAUGACUCCAUGACGCAUGUUGUGGGGUGGAAAGCCUUGUGCGGCUGAGGAUGGGCCCGCGGCCUAUCAGCUUGUUGGUGGGGUGAUGGCCUACCAAGGCGACGACGGGUAGCCGGCCUGAGAGGGCGACCGGCCACACUGGGACUGAGAUACGGCCCAGACUCCUACGGGAGGCAGCAGUGGGGAAUCUUGCGCAAUGGGCGAAAGCCUGACGCAGCGACGCCGCGUGA
This 375-nucleotide ribosomal RNA is filed under the name uncultured bacterium. RNAcentral describes it as "bacterial SSU rRNA". It matches the Rfam family "Bacterial small subunit ribosomal RNA", at positions 28 to 404 of the family's 1533-position model. The record is from RNAcentral.